UCUUAUUUUUAAAAUGCAGAAUUAGAGGUAUGGACCCUUCCUCGGAAUGCUAAAAGCAAUAUACAGAUGAAGACAAACGACUAAAAGAUAAGCUGGUGGUCACUGUUUCUACAAAAAGACACCUAAAGACCAGAUCCCUAUGCCAGAGAAACCACCUGCCAAGACUAGUGUGGAAAGAACAGAAAGGAAGAGAGGAAAAUAAGCUGGAGAAGCCAAGGGAACAGGUCAUUCCCCUGCUCCCCAGAAAACUCUCCCAACCAAGAUUAAAAUUGCUGAAACAAACCCUGCAAUCUGACCAGACACCCUGAGGACAGUGUUCGUGGGAGACAAAGCUCAAGCGAUUGGCUGGAGCUUCCCAGGUGAUUCUAAAGGGGAACCAGAGCUCAGAAGCACUGAGAUAAAUGAAUGCUAGCUCCUGUGUGGCCCUGAAGGAGGUAGAGGAAUUGGUUCCUGGAACAUGGCUCCUGAAACCAUUGGAAUCUCUGGAAUGAUGUCUUUUGUGUGGUGAUGAGAUGACUGGUGCCUGGAAACCCCUAGUUAAGCUUCAGGAGGGGGCAUGGUCCCAGAAGGACCAAGGCACGAUUACAAGCUCCAGAGAAAUCCCUAAAGGACUGGGUUGAGAAAGGGCCCAGGUUGGUGACUAUAUCAAGGUUCCGGGAGAGGGGCAAACCUGGAGCGGUCACGAAGUGCUACAGCCUUGACCCCACGCCUCGCCCUAUGUAUCGCUUCUGUUUGGCUGUUCCUGAAUUGUACCCUUUAUAACAAAAGGAUUAUGGUAAGUAAAGUGUUUUCCCCUGAGUCCUGAGUUGUUCUGGCCAAUUACAUAACCUGAAGGGGGGAGAGGAGAUUGUGGGAAUCCCCCGACUUUGUAGCCAGUCAGACAGAAGUGACCAGGGAUCCAACAAUACUUGCAACUAAUGAUGUCUGAAGCAGGACGAGGGGGUGAUCUUG
This is a long non-coding RNA of Nyctereutes procyonoides (raccoon dog), 951 nucleotides long. RefSeq lists it as uncharacterized. The transcript has 6 exons. The record is from RefSeq and is a predicted model, not a curated record. Lineage: Eukaryota; Metazoa; Chordata; Mammalia; Carnivora; Canidae.